UACGUAGGGCGCAAGCGUUGUCCGGAAUUAUUGGGCGUAAAGAGCUCGUAGGCGGUCUGUUACGUCCGCUGUGAAAACCCAGGGCUUAACCCUGGGCUUGCAGUGGAUACGGGUAGACUAGAGGCAGGUAGGGGAGAAUGGAAUUCCCGGUGUAGCGGUGAAAUGCGCAGAUAUCAGGAGGAACACCGGUGGCGAAGGCGGCUUGCUGGGCCAGUUCUGACGCUGAGGAGCGAAAGCGUGGGGAGCGAACAGG
Molecule: ribosomal RNA, 253 nt
Filed under: uncultured bacterium
Lineage: Bacteria
Description: partial 16S ribosomal RNA
Rfam family: Bacterial small subunit ribosomal RNA
Source: RNAcentral